UUUCCUUUGCUCUGCCGAGGCCCCUCCUUAUUCUGCGUUUCCUUUCCCGCUGCUGUCCUCGGACUACAAGCUGUUGUCUGUACGUUUCGCCGCCUGCCUUGGGACGCUAGACACGGGAGCGUCGUUCGUUGGGCGCAGAGUCUUCGGAAUUUAAAGGAAAGGGGUGCGGGCCACGCGACGCAGAGCGAUCGGCUGACCUCUGUAGUGGCCACUUGUCGCUUCUUCGCUAAAGAGGCCGAUCUGCGGUCUUCUACCCGGUUUGGUUGUAGACGGCGAACACUGAAGUGGAACCUUCGCUUUCCAUGCAGGGAGCGGCCGGUGGGAAGACGAGGCCGCGACAAAAGGAAAUCCUGCCGCCGUCACCAGUAGAACCGAGAGAAAUAGCAGUGGAAGAAUGUGAAACUGGUCUUGGUAUUGGAUAUAGAAAUGUCAGUAGACGAAUCUUCUAAAAAUAUGAAGAAAACUUGCAACUUGAUGAUCAAAGCAUAAUUAAGAUGUUACCUUUGAAAAGUGCAUUGCCAAGACAAUGACAAAAGAUUACAACCUAUUCCAGUUCUCUU
Thamnophis sirtalis is the source of this 560-nucleotide non-coding RNA. Lineage: Eukaryota; Metazoa; Chordata; Lepidosauria; Squamata; Natricidae. The record is from RefSeq and is a predicted model, not a curated record.